AACGUGGGUAACCUGCCUCAUAGAGUGGAAUAGCCUUCCGAAAGGAAGAUUAAUACCGCAUAAUGUUGAAAGAUGGCAUCAUCAUUUAACCAAAGGAGCAAUCCGCUAUGAGAUGGACCCGCGGCGCAUUAGCUAGUUGGUGGGGUAACGGCCUACCAAGGCGACGAUGCGUAGCCGACCUGAGAGGGUGAUCGGCCACAUUGGGACUGAGACACGGCCCAG
Molecule: ribosomal RNA, 222 nt
Filed under: uncultured bacterium
Lineage: Bacteria
Description: partial 16S ribosomal RNA
Rfam family: Bacterial small subunit ribosomal RNA
Source: RNAcentral